RNAcentral lists this long non-coding RNA (1566 nucleotides) under Vulpes vulpes (red fox). Its description in RNAcentral is "lncRNA (ENSVVUG00000017197.1)". Lineage: Eukaryota; Metazoa; Chordata; Mammalia; Carnivora; Canidae. The record is from RNAcentral.
GCUGCCUGAUUUAAAUAGAUUUUCCCUCAAAUAAACUCUUAACAUUUUUAAUAUGCCUCAGUUUAUCUCUUAACAGUCCUGCUGGUAGAAGAGAGCACAAAAGGGACCCCGACAGCCCUCAGAAGAAUGAGCAAGCAGGUGUUAGUGCCUCGCGCUCCCUGCUUUCUGGCUGCCUCUGGAGGUCAGAGGUGAGUGCCUUUCAGAUCCUGGAUCCCAGCUCCACACCUUCUGUAUUAUGAACUUUCAGACUUUACUUGAACAUUUCCCUUUCUAGAAUGCAUGUGAAAACUGGCUGGAGUCAGACCGGGUCCAACUUAAAACCCAGACUAGAUCCGAACCAGACGAAAUCCAACUUAGACUAGCCUGGGUCCAAUGUGAGGCCUCAGGUGAAUACGAUUUUGUUUUAAGGUUGAACAAGUGGAUUAACGUUUUAGAAGGUAAUCUUGAAUCAGAGGGACCACGGUGGAGAACACGGAACCAUUGUAGAUAAACUCGUCCAUUUAUGAGGCGGCCUGUAGGGAAAGGGGUCUCGGGCAAGCACUUGGUAUAAAGGGUAGAGGGAAAAUUAUAUUUUCCUCUCCACAGUUUCUGGUGACCAGGAUGGGACCCACCGGGAUACUACUCCAACUCAGUCCAGAUUCCACGAACAGCAUCCUUGGAAAAUUGGCAGGAGCCAGCAACGAAAUGCAUACAACACCUUGGUGUUCAACCACACUGACCCCAGAGGACCCACCACUUUCCGACGCUACUGAUGUACUGAUGUCAUCUGUAGCUCACAGCUGCUUCCUGGUAUCUGUCUGACCUCUGGGAUAAAACAGGGCUUAGGAUGCUUUCUCAUUUACUCCAUGUCUUUACUUUUUUUCUCCAGAAGUAUGCUAAACUGAUAAAAAUCAACCAUGAGAUUACCUUGUAUUUUAGCACCAAGACUUCUCAGUUCUAGGCCUUAGAGGGUAAGCCCUUCAUUAUGGGUAACUGCACAAAUAAUAGCAAUUUAUUGGUAUAAAUUCCUUCUGGCCUGUCAGUAGAAAAUAUUUGGACUUUUUAUUAUUAUCAAUCAAAGUCACAAGUUUGAAAUUAGGAGCACAUGUAAAUUCAGCAAAUUUGAGUUCCUUUGUGUGUCAGUCCAGUGCUAGGUGCUUCCAUUUGGUCUCUCAUUUCAUCUCCUAAAAAUUCUUUGAGAUAAUUUCUCUUUCUACCAACUUUUUUUUUUUUCUUAUGAGAAAAAUAAUACCAAGAAUUUACCUGAUGUUGAGGGUCAAACAGUAACUAGCAGAGUUGUGAUUUGAAACUUAGGCUCCAAACGCUAACUUCACUCCUCUUUACACUAGAACAGUGAUUCCCAGAUCAGCAGCAUCAGCAUCUCCUGGGCAAUUCCUAGAAAUUAGUUCUCAGGUCUUGCCCCAGAUCUGGGGUUGACGGGGGGCAGACACCUGUGUACAUCCUCCAGAUAACGCAAGCUAAAGUCUGAGAACCAUUACACGACACAGUUGUGUACACAAAUGUAUGUAAUUUGGUCUACCCAGGUGGAUGGUUGAGUGAGUUAAAUGACUCUCAUCAUUGAAAAAC